CCUACGGGUGGCAGCAGUGAGGAAUAUUGGUCAAUGGGCGUAAGCCUGAACCAGCCAAGUCGCGUGAGGGAUGAAGGUUCUAUGGAUCGUAAACCUCUUUUAUAAGGGAAUAAAGUGUGGGACGUGUCCUAUUUUGUUUGUACCUUAUGAAUCAGGAUCGGCUAACUCCGUGCCAGCAGCCGCGGUAAUACGGAGGAUCCGAGCGUUAUCCGGAUUUAUUGGGUUUAACGGGUGCGUAGGCGGGCUUGUAAGUCAGCUGUGAAAGUCUGUGGCUCAACCGUAGAAUUGACGUUGAUACUGGGAGGCUUGAGUAUAGUUGAGGCAGGCGGAAUGCGUGGUGUAGCGGUGAAAUGCUUAGAUAUCACGAAGAACCCCGAUUGCGAAGGCAGCCUACUAAGCCAUGACUGACGCUGAUGCACGAAAGCGUGGGGAUCAAACAGGAUUAGAUACCCUAGUAGUC
Molecule: ribosomal RNA, 460 nt
Filed under: uncultured bacterium
Lineage: Bacteria
Description: partial 16S ribosomal RNA
Rfam family: Bacterial small subunit ribosomal RNA
Source: RNAcentral